ACAUAGAUAUAAUCAUUACUUUCGCAUCACCAAUAAUUGUUGGUGUAUACCGAUAUUUAUGUCAACAGUUAUUUUACAGAAGAAAGAGAUAAUAUUUAUGUUAAAUUAUGCUAAUUUUUUGUACUUAAGAAAAUUAUCUUCGAACAGACAUAUGUAAUUAGUCAUAAAUUAAACAAAGAGUUCUAGGUAUGCGUUUCAACGAGAUAUGACUGGCUUUGUUAGUCAAACUUCCGUUAUCUAGGCUAAUAGACAUGCAUAACAAUUCACGAAGCGGCAUUAUGACAAUAAAAAAAUCAGUCGGAUGCCAUGCGGAAUUGCGUGUCAAUUUUUUUAAAUCGACGUUGGAAAGUGAAGUUGAAAUGAAAGUUAGAAGGAACUGGAUGCAAGGAAGCGUCAUGAAAUUACGAGAAUCGCUCACUGUGAGAAAAUUAUUUCCGGCUAUUAAAUUGGAGACUUCAAUUAUUGAUAUCUAAAAAAGAAAUAUAAGAAUUUUAUUUGAUUCGUAAAUUUUCAAAUUACAUAAUUAAAAUAGCUAUAAACUUCAUCGAAAUAUUUUAACAUGAAUAACAUAGGAUAUCUUGUAUAUUAAAAAAUUACUGAAUAUAAAAAAUUGAUACACAAAAUGAACACUGUCAUUAGCAAAUGCUGUAAUAUCAUGAAAAAAAAUGGAGUUUUAAAGCUUGCGCAUUAUAGAAAUUGUGCCUUGAAGUGCCGAGGAAGAGAUAAACAAGAACCGGAAAGAAUGCCAUAUAAAUACCAAUGAUCGGUGGCACGUUGCCCAAUAUUGCAUACGCCAUCCCUGUAAUAUAAUUAAAAUCUUUAUAAUACGAAUUUUAAUGUUUUAA
Molecule: long non-coding RNA, 845 nt
Organism: Apis dorsata (giant honeybee)
Lineage: Eukaryota; Metazoa; Arthropoda; Insecta; Hymenoptera; Apidae
Exons: 3
Source: RefSeq, a predicted model, not a curated record